CCUACGGGCGGCAGCAGUCGAGAAUCAUUCACAAUGGGGGAAACCCUGAUGGUGCGACGCCGCGUGGGGGAAUGAAGGUCUUCGGAUUGUAAACCCCUGUCAUGUGGGAGCAAAUUAAAAAGAUAGUACCACAAGAGGAAGAGACGGCUAACUCUGUGCAAGCAGCCGCGGUAAUACAGAGGUCUCAAGCGUUGUUCGGAAUCACUGGGCGUAAAGCGUGCGUAGGCUGUUUCGUAAGUCGUGUGUGAAAGGAGCGGGCUCAAGCCGCGGACGGCACAUGAUACUGCGAGACUAGAGUAAUGGAGGGGGAACCGGAAUUCUUGGUGUAGCAGUGAAAUGCGUAGAUAUCGAGAGGAACACUCGUGGCGAAGGCGGGUUCCUGGACAUUAACUGACGCUGAGGCACGAAGGCCAGGGGAGCGAAAGGGAUUAGAUACCCUGGUAGUC
RNAcentral lists this ribosomal RNA (446 nucleotides) under uncultured bacterium. Its description in RNAcentral is "partial 16S ribosomal RNA". It matches the Rfam family "Bacterial small subunit ribosomal RNA", at positions 338 to 795 of the family's 1533-position model. The record is from RNAcentral.